RNAcentral lists this unclassified non-coding RNA (876 nucleotides) under Hevea brasiliensis (rubber tree). Lineage: Eukaryota; Viridiplantae; Streptophyta; Magnoliopsida; Malpighiales; Euphorbiaceae. The record is from RNAcentral.
AAAACACUCAUCUCAAACAAACAAACAAAAACCCCAUUAAGUCAUGGCUUCAAUGCAGUGCUACAAAGAAGAAGGCAAAGAGUUCGAUUACUAUAGUUACGGAAAUCAAAAACCUUCUUAUUCGAGCUCUGGAUAUGAACAAUCUUACUAUGAGAAAGAAAAGUGUUACGAAACCAAACCUGGAAUGAUGGGCUACGGCUCUAGCCAUGGCCAUCAACAUGGUAGCAACCCAUGUGGGCCGAUGAUGGGCCAUAACUCGGGCUAUGGUACGGGCCAUAACGGUACUUCUCAUGGGAUGGGCUAUGGAAUGGGCUACGGUACGGGCCACAACAGUAAUUCUCAUGGAAUGGGCUGUGGUACGGGCCACAACAAUACUCAUGGGAUGGGCUACACGGGCCACAACAUGCACAAACCCAAGCCCGGUAUGGGCUUGGGCCUCGGAACGGGCACAGCUUUGGGCCAUGUUAUGGGCUUUGGAAAGAAACAUGACGGACAUAGUAGCUAUGCAAUGGGCUCUUCGGGCUGCACCACUUACAAGAAACAACACCGUAAGAGAAACGGUUACGGCAGUGGCAGCGAUUGCAGCGACAGCAGCGAUGACGAGCGUCAUUGCUAAAUUAAUUACUACAGGGUUUCAUGUGUAGCAGCCUGGCUUAUGGGAGAGAUUGAAUUACAUGUCCCAGUACUAUAAGGGAGUAUUUAUGAUAAUAAAAAAUAAGAAGCAAAUCAGCUAUGGCUACUAGCUAUAUAUUGACUAUGUGAAGUUAAUUAUGAAAUCUUAAGUUGUGUGUUUGUGUGUUGGUACUUUAAGUACCAAUUUAAUGUAACUGCUUAUUACCUUUGGCAAUAAAACUAUGUUGUUAUUUGUGUCGAUUA